GACGUAAGUGGCAAGCGUUGUUCGGAAUUACUGGGCAUAAAGGGAGCGUAGGCGGUCGGGUAAGUCAGGGGUGAAAUCCCUCGGCUCAACUGAGGAACAGCCUUUGAUACUGCUCGGCUCGAGGGUGGGAGGGGAGUGCGGAACUCUUGGUGGAGCGGUGAAAUGCGUUGAUAUCAAGAGGAACGCCAGUGGCGAAAGCGGCACUCUGGUCCACUUCUGACGCUGAGGCUCGAAAGCUAGGGGAGCAAACGGG
This 253-nucleotide ribosomal RNA is filed under the name uncultured bacterium. RNAcentral's name for it is "partial 16S ribosomal RNA". It matches the Rfam family "Bacterial small subunit ribosomal RNA", at positions 524 to 776 of the family's 1533-position model. The record is from RNAcentral.